CCUACGGGAGGCAGCAGUGGGGAAUAUUGCACAAUGGGCGCAAGCCUGAUGCAGCCAUGCCGCGUGUGUGAAGAAGGCCUUCGGGUUGUAAAGCACUUUCAGCGGGGAGGAAGGCGAUAAGGUUAAUAACCUUGUCGAUUGAUGUUACCCGCAGAAGAAGCACCGGCUAACUCCGUGCCAGCGGCCGCGGUAAUACGGAGGGUGCAAGCGUUAAUCGGAAUUACUGGGCGUAACGCGCACGCAGGCGGUCUGUCAAGUCGGAUGUGAAAUCCCCGGGCUCAACCUGGGAACUGCAUUCGAAACUGGCAGGCUAGAGUCUUGUAGAGGGGGGUAGAAUUCCAGGUGUAGCGGUGAAAUGCGUAGAGAUCUGGAGGAAUACCGGUGGCGAAGGCGGCCCCCUGGACAAAGACUGACGCUCAGGUGCGAAAGCGUGGGGAGCAAACAGGAUUAGAUACCCGCGUAGUC
RNAcentral lists this ribosomal RNA (465 nucleotides) under uncultured bacterium. RNAcentral's name for it is "bacterial SSU rRNA". It matches the Rfam family "Bacterial small subunit ribosomal RNA", at positions 338 to 795 of the family's 1533-position model. The record is from RNAcentral.